AGAGUUUGAUCAUGGCUCAGAUUGAACGCUGGCGGCAGGCCUAACACAUGCAAGUCGAACGGUAACAGGAAGAAGCUUGCUUCUUUGCUGACGAGUGGCGGACGGGUGAGUAAUGUCUGGGAAACUGCCUGAUGGAGGGGGAUAACUACUGGAAACGGUAGCUAAUACCGCAUAACGUCGCAAGACCAAAGAGGGGGACCUUCGGGCCUCUUGCCAUCGGAUGUGCCCAGAUGGGAUUAGCUUGUUGGUGGGGUAACGGCUCACCAAGGCGACGAUCCCUAGCUGGUCUGAGAGGAUGACCAGCCACACUGGAACUGAGACACGGUCCAGACUCCUACGGGAGGCAGCAGUGGGGAAUAUUGCACAAUGGGCGCAAGCCUGAUGCAGCCAUGCCGCGUGUAUGAAGAAGGCCUUCGGGUUGUAAAGUACUUUCAGCGGGGAGGAAGGGAGUAAAGUUAAUACCUUUACUCAUUGACGUUACCCGCAGAAGAAGCACCGGCUAACUCCGUGCCAGCAGCCGCGGUAAUACGGAGGGUGCAAGCGUUAAUCGGAAUUACUGGGCGUAAAGCGUACGCAGGCGGUUUGUUAAGUCAGAUGUGAAAUCCCCGGGCUCAACCUGGGAACUGCAUCUGAUACUGGCAAGCUUGAGUCUCGUAGAGGGGGGUAGAAUUCCAGGUGUAGCGGUGAAAUGCGUAGAGAUCUGGAGGAAUACCGGUGGCGAAGGCGGCCCCCUGGACGAAGACUGACGCUCAGGUGCGAAAGCGUGGGGAGCAAACAGGAUUAGAUACCCUGGUAGUCCACGCCGUAAACGAUGUCGACUUGGAGGUUGUGCCCUUGAGGCGUGGCUUCCGGAGCUAACGCGUUAAGUCGACCGCCUGGGGAGUACGGCCGCAAGGUUAAAACUCAAAUGAAUUGACGGGGGCCCGCACAAGCGGUGGAGCAUGUGGUUUAAUUCGAUGCAACGCGAAGAACCUUACCUGGUCUUGACAUCCACGGAAGUUUUCAGAGAUGAGAAUGUGCCUUCGGGAACCGUGAGACAGGUGCUGCAUGGCUGUCGUCAGCUCGUGUUGUGAAAUGUUGGGUUAAGUCCCGCAACGAGCGCAACCCUUAUCCUUUGUUGCCAGCGGUCCGGCCGGGAACUCAAAGGAGACUGCCAGUGAUAAACUGGAGGAAGGUGGGGAUGACGUCAAGUCAUCAUGGCCCUUACGACCAGGGCUACACACGUGCUACAAUGGCGCAUACAAAGAGAAGCGACCUCGCGAGAGCAAGCGGACCUCAUAAAGUGCGUCGUAGUCCGGAUUGGAGUCUGCAACUCGACUCCAUGAAGUCGGAAUCGCUAGUAAUCGUGGAUCAGAAUGCCACGGUGAAUACGUUCCCGGGCCUUGUACACACCGCCCGUCACACCAUGGGAGUGGGUUGCAAAAGAAGUAGGUAGCUUAACCUUCGGGAGGGCGCUUACCACUUUGUGAUUCAUGACUGGGGUGAAGUCGUAACAAGGUAACCGUAGGGGAACCUGCGGUUGGAUCACCU
Molecule: ribosomal RNA, 1530 nt
Filed under: Escherichia coli KTE203
Lineage: Bacteria; Pseudomonadati; Pseudomonadota; Gammaproteobacteria; Enterobacterales; Enterobacteriaceae
Description: bacterial SSU rRNA
Rfam family: Bacterial small subunit ribosomal RNA
Source: RNAcentral